Caenorhabditis elegans is the source of this 213-nucleotide non-coding RNA. NCBI's taxonomy places the organism in Eukaryota, Metazoa, Nematoda, Chromadorea, Rhabditida, Rhabditidae. The record is from Ensembl.
AAGUUUGAUACCGAUCCAUUGGCGACGCUCUGUAAGUUUGGUCUGAUUAGAAAUCAAAAAAUGUUUUAGUUAUUUUUAUGUUUUAUGAAACUCUGUGAAAGAACCUUCUAUCGACCUUGAAAACUGAAGUUAAUAUAAAAAAAUUUCAAUUAAAAAAUGUUCAAAACUCGCUUUUCCAGCUGCUCGACCUGUGGAUGCUGCCCCAACCACAAC